Molecule: signal recognition particle RNA, 217 nt
Filed under: Staphylococcus epidermidis
Lineage: Bacteria; Bacillati; Bacillota; Bacilli; Caryophanales; Staphylococcaceae
Description: partial signal recognition particle sRNA large type
Rfam family: Bacterial large signal recognition particle RNA
About the family: The signal recognition particle (SRP) is a universally conserved ribonucleoprotein involved in the co-translational targeting of proteins to membranes. Archaeal SRP consists of a 7S RNA and homologues of the eukaryotic SRP19 and SRP54 proteins.
Source: RNAcentral
AGACUUAAUUCCUUUGUUGAGGGCGUAUUUUUGUGAAGUCUGCCCGAAGCACGUAGUGUUUGAAGAUUUCGGUCCUAUGCAAUAUGAACCCAUGAACCAUGUCAGGUCCUGCCGGAAGCAGCAUUAAGUGGAUACUCAUAAGUGCCGUAGGGUAGCCGAGAUUUAGCUGUCGACUUCGGUAACGUUUAUGAUAUGCGUUCGAUACAAAGGUGCAUGG